CCCGAAGCAAGUAAAUUCUUUUGUUUAUGUCGUAUGUCCGUUCCUGACUGAAGCAGAGGAAUUCUCAAUUGUUUUUUGCUUGUAUGAGUACCGGUCCAUCCGGCCGCACAAACACAAGUACUACCUUCGAUGCAGUAACCUCCAUUUUGGCAAGGACUGAUUUGACAAGAAGAUCCAGAACCUCAAUUAAACAAGAAAAUUCGAUAAUGAAUGGAUGAAUUCAUAAAGUUUAAUUCCGGACACUUGUAUUUAAAAUGGUAUUAUAGUGUGUAUGAAAAAAGAGGCAUGAGAGAUGAAUUUCAACAUCCAAACCCCCUUUAUAAGCCGAUACUGGCAAUAGCAAUAAUGGUAUGUGUAAAGUUUUUAGUUUUUAUUUCCUUUCGUGAUUCGCUUGGAUAUAUUCAGAAUUUAGAUGAUCAUAACUCAUAUACAACCCGAACGGCCUAUUUCACCAGAUAUAAGAUGAUUAACUUACCCUCCGUUACCAGGGCUUCGAUGUUCGAUAUUAAAACGCUCAGAAAUAUGAAAACAAUUCUCUUCAGCCACAUUGCGAUACUUUUGAAAAUAGAACAAUAAGCAAUCUGAUUUGUUUCUAAACAACAAUGAUCAACAUUUAAUCUGAAAGAAAAUCGCCCAAUAUAAUGUUUUGUAUACCGCUUUGUUUUUAUACCGUUUCGUAUUAUCUAUCCGACUCGUUAGUUAAGUCGAAUUGAAGAGCUCACCAAGUUCACACGUCUUCUGUGCAAAAUAAUCGAUUUUUUACUUAUUGUAGUAAAUUGUCUUGUAUAUGUGACAUUAAACCGGUUGCACUGUU
This is a non-coding RNA of Styela clava, 814 nucleotides long. The record is from RefSeq and is a predicted model, not a curated record. NCBI's taxonomy places the organism in Eukaryota, Metazoa, Chordata, Ascidiacea, Stolidobranchia, Styelidae.